CACUCUAGCGAGACUGCCGGUAAUAAACCGGAGGAAGUGGGGAUGACGUCAAAUCAUCAUGCCCCUUAUGACCUGGGCUACACACGUGCUACAAUGGUUGGUACAACGAGUUGCGAGUCGGUGACGGCGAGCUAAUCUCUUAAAGCCAAUCUCAGUUCGGAUUGUAGGCUGCAACUCGCCUACAUGAAGUCGGAAUCGCUAGUAAUCGCGGAUCAGCACGCCGCGGUGAAUACGUUCCCGGGCCUU
RNAcentral lists this ribosomal RNA (246 nucleotides) under uncultured Streptococcus sp. Its description in RNAcentral is "partial 16S ribosomal RNA". It matches the Rfam family "Bacterial small subunit ribosomal RNA", at positions 1136 to 1382 of the family's 1533-position model. Lineage: Bacteria; Bacillati; Bacillota; Bacilli; Lactobacillales; Streptococcaceae. The record is from RNAcentral.